GACGAACGCUGGCGGCGUGCUUAACACAUGCAAGUCGAACGCUGAAGACCUGGCUUUUGUUGGGUUGGAUGAGUGGCGAACGGGUGAGUAACACGUGAGUAACCUGCCCUCUUCUUUGGGAUAACGCCCGGAAACGGGUGCUAAUACUGGAUAUUCACUGAUCUUCGCAUGGGGGUUGGUGGAAAGGUUUGUUCUGGUGGGGGAUGGGCUCGCGGCCUAUCAGCUUGUUGGUGGGGUGAUGGCCUACCAAGGCUUUGACGGGUAGCCGGCCUGAGAGGGUGACCGGUCACAUUGGGACUGGGAUACGGCCCAGACUCCUACGGGAGGCAGCAGUGGGGAAUAUUGCACAAUGGGCGAAAGCCUGAUGCAGCGACGCCGCGUGAGGGAUGGAGGCCUGCGGGUUGUAAACCUCUUUCGCUCAUGGUCAAGCCGCAACUGUGGGUUGUGGUGAGGGUAGUGGGUAAAGAAGCGCCGGCUAACUACGUG
Molecule: ribosomal RNA, 486 nt
Filed under: uncultured bacterium
Lineage: Bacteria
Description: partial 16S ribosomal RNA
Rfam family: Bacterial small subunit ribosomal RNA
Source: RNAcentral